Long non-coding RNA from Topomyia yanbarensis, 2243 nucleotides. RefSeq lists it as uncharacterized. The record is from RefSeq and is a predicted model, not a curated record. The transcript is spliced from 4 exons. NCBI's taxonomy places the organism in Eukaryota, Metazoa, Arthropoda, Insecta, Diptera, Culicidae.
CGCAACCGCGCGGAUCCUUCACGAUUCGGGUGAAAUCGUACCCUGCAGACUGGAAACGGGUUGUAGGGAGCUCACGACCGCAGAAAAUGCCACAAAAGUGAGGCGGGUGUGCAGAAGUAAAGGAGGAACAGCUGAAGAAUCCAGGCUUGUCACAACCGGAGCGGGAAAGAAGCAGACGUAAAUGCGCAGGAUAUAAGCCUUCCAGGCUUGCCGUUACCGUAGCGAGAGAAAACGGACGCACGUCGAGAAACAAGCUGAAGCCUCCCAGGCUUGCAGUUACCGUAACGAGAGAAAACGGACGGGUGUGAGAAAGCAGACUAGACAGAUCGGCAAAAGCACAAACAGUGUCCAGCCCGAACAAGUAAAUCUACAGCUAUGAGCAGCGCCAGUUCCCAGUGCUUAAGCAUGAAAACACGACAGAUCGGUAUUAAUCUUCCUAAACUGGACGGGCGUUUCAGUCCAGUAGACACAGAACUCAAAUUGAGUCACAGGUCUCACUUGGUCGUGGAGGCGUCACCACGACAAAUCUCUAAAGCAACGCGAAUCAGGGGCGCGGACGUUCAGGCGGCUAGUCCAAAUGAAUUUAACCCUUGCAUGGACUCGUGGUGAUAGGAGAGACUAAAUCCUCUCAUACCUCAAACAUACGACCGCCUCUCACACGACUUACAGUCCAAUGAGAGUAAAUGUUCUCUGAACCACUUACCGAUUCAGACACAUAUGAGCCAUUUUGUCUUUGUUUUGACACUUAAUGUUAAAUGUCGAUCUACUAGUAUAAUUUAGCCAUUAUGAAACUAGUUAGAAUCCUUGAAUGUCGCUACCUAAUGAGAGCAUAUGAUUUGAAGGCCAGCAAAGAACUGAGUCGGAGACAUUUUAGCCACGACAAGUGGGCGCACGAUUACACCUUUCAAGCAGAAGAAGUCUGCUGUAAUGUUUAUUUGGUAUUAUGUUUAUAUUAGAGAUCAAGAUAUGGAGAGCAACCGUUAGGCUCUCAAGCAAUUAUGUUGGAUAUAUGAUGUAGAAAAGUAAUCUGUUCAGUCUCCGGCGCACUUCUUACGGAAGUGAAAGUUUUAGAAAUUUUUCGUGAAUGGCAAUAGCAAUUCACGAAAAAUUUUUGCCAUUGGGUAGGGUUGUGUAGCAGUUAAAUUAUUUGAUUAGAUGUUAACUCAAUUUGAACAUCUUCAACACACACAUUAUACUAAGUUAAAGUUAAGCGUGUAUGAAUCCACCACAAGGGCCGCCUGCCAGCUUGAAAGUGAAACAUCAUCAACAAACUUUCUGCAGUAACUAUAUCCAUUCUACCUGUCAGUUGCGAAGAGAGUGUUUCCGCUUACUAAAAAAAGGAAUCACAAUAAAAAGUAAUGGUGUAAGGUGCAGCCGUGAUUCCUGCUUCGUGCGCUUAAACCGGCUGAAAAAAUACUCGUGCGGGACAGAACGCACAAAUUACAAAACGAUUUUACUUUGGAAAGGGUCGCACGGAAAAAAAUACGCGAUUCCGACAGUCACACGAGUGUUGAUCCGGUCAAAACUCAAGCGUACAAGCAGGAACACAACGUCCGUUCACACAAGGCCUGUUGAUCUAAUCAGGGUUGAUUCCGGAUCGUACCGGAUUGCACUGGGAAGAUAAGAAUCCUGAAGGUAUCAGUACCAGCAAGCAGUGAUCUGCGAACGAAAAGCGAUACGCUUUUAACCAGCCUAGCAAACACGAAACGGAAAACGCCUUCCAAGAGAAGGCUCCUUUUCCGACACUUAAAGUGUCCUACUACAAGCAUCGGGACUCAGAUACCGGCUCAUCAGAAGUUCAAUCAAGGCGUCGGUCGAACAGGAACAAUUCGCAGGCAGAUCAGUUGGUGGAAGGAAUCUGGUCACCGCAGCUGUGCACCUGGACGCAGGUGAGCAGCCUGAGUACAAGCGGGUAAUAGGAGACCGUGACGCAAUAGGUCCCACGGUCGAGCUCAAGGGGAUUUUGUCACUAACGAGGGCACGCCGGAUGGAACGGAAGGUGGCGAGACACACGGUUCAUAUCGUGAGAUGCCGCAGCGGAUGGCGGGGCUGUGAGUACUAGCUUUUAAGAAGUGAAUAGAAUCAGUAGGCUGGAAGGGCAGAGCAGCAGGGAUAGGUGGAUAGAAGAAGUCAGAGAAAAAAGAGGAAUGUGUGAAGAGAGAUGAAUAAAGGGGUAGGAUGUUCAAAAUGACACGUGUAGGUUUUGGUUUUAUGAGCAGUCGGCCCAGUUGAGGCAAGUUGUC